CUCCAGGUCUGACCACAGGUAACACUGUCCCAGCGCACACUCUCAGCAGCGGUCCACACUCAGCAGCGGUCUAUACCACUCUUCCAGCCAAGAUGAAGGUGUCAAUACUGCUCCUGUGUGGCUUGGCUCUGACGGCAGCCCAUCCCACCUGGGACGUUUUCAAGGGUAAUUAUAAGCGGAAGUAUAAGAACUCAACAGAAGAAACGCGUCGCAAGAAAGUGUUCGAGGAUAAUCUCCAGACCAUCAAAGAUCAUGGGAAGAAGAACGCAACCUUCGAGAUGGCGAUGAACGAGUUUGGU
Procambarus clarkii (red swamp crayfish) is the source of this 299-nucleotide non-coding RNA. The record is from RefSeq and is a predicted model, not a curated record. NCBI's taxonomy places the organism in Eukaryota, Metazoa, Arthropoda, Malacostraca, Decapoda, Cambaridae.